This 429-nucleotide ribosomal RNA is filed under the name Chloroflexota bacterium. Its description in RNAcentral is "Chloroflexi bacterium partial 16S ribosomal RNA". It matches the Rfam family "Bacterial small subunit ribosomal RNA", at positions 355 to 776 of the family's 1533-position model. The record is from RNAcentral. Lineage: Bacteria; Bacillati; Chloroflexota.
UGGGGAAUAUUGCACAAUGGGCGCAAGCCUGAUGCAGCCAUGCCGCGUGUAUGAAGAAGGCCUUCGGGUUGUAAAGUACUUUCAGUCGGGAGGAAGGUGGUAAGGUUAAUAACCUUAUCAAUUGACGUUACCGACAGAAGAAGCACCGGCUAACUCCGUUCCAGCAGCCGCGGUAAUACGGAGGGUGCAAGCGUUAAUCGGAAUUACUGGGCGUAAAGCGCACGCAGGCGGUUGAUUGAGUCAGAUGUGAAAUCCCCGGGCUUAACCCGGGAAUUGCAUCUGAUACUGGUCAGCUAGAGUCUUGUAGAGGGGGGUAGAAUUCCAUGUGUAGCGGUGAAAUGCGUAGAGAUCUGGAGGAAUACCGGUGGCGAAGGCGGCCCCCUGGACGAAGACUGACGCUCAGGUGCGAAAGCGUGGGGAGCAAACAGG